UACGUAGGGCGCAAGCGUUUAUCCGGAAUUAUUGGGCGUAAAGAGCUCGUAGGCGGUUUGUCGCGUCUGCCGUGAAAAUCCGGGGCUCAACCCCGGACUUGCAGUGGGUACGGGCAGACUAGAGUGUGGUAGGGGAGACUGGAAUUCCUGGUGUAGCGGUGGAAUGCGCAGAUAUCAGGAGGAACACCGAUGGCGAAGGCAGCACUCUGGCCGAAUACUGACGCUGAGGC
RNAcentral lists this ribosomal RNA (230 nucleotides) under uncultured bacterium. Its description in RNAcentral is "partial 16S ribosomal RNA". It matches the Rfam family "Bacterial small subunit ribosomal RNA", at positions 524 to 752 of the family's 1533-position model. The record is from RNAcentral.